This 5469-nucleotide long non-coding RNA is filed under the name Fragaria vesca (wild strawberry). Its description in RNAcentral is "long non-coding RNA (FVES_LNC002455)". The record is from RNAcentral. Lineage: Eukaryota; Viridiplantae; Streptophyta; Magnoliopsida; Rosales; Rosaceae.
AAAUCCUUCACCAUCUCUAGUUCUUGCAAUUAGAACCCUUGUUGACUUUUGUCAAAUUUUGCCCAUGUUGUAAUCACAAUAUUUGGAAUACAUAGUACGGAUUCCAAGUAGGGUCUCUCGGGGAACCUUUUUUUAAAUCGAUUAUUAGACUAUUAAUUGAAAUUGGUGAAUUGUGUGUCAUUGAGUGAUUAACUUAUGAUUGUUAUUGUUUUCAUUAAAAGCAUGUGUAAUCGUUGAGUUAUGUUAUCAAUGUUAUCGUUUUCUUAAAAAGCAUGUGUUUGAUAUUAAAAUGCGAAUAUUGAUGCUCAAUUGUUAUGCAUAAUGCAUUGUGAGGAAUUAUGAGAUUAGUGAGAAUGGUGAUUCUGGAGAUGUGUGAAUGAGAUCGAAAGAAAAUAUAAAUUUUAUGUAGUUGAGUUUCCUCAUACGGACAUCCAGUAGCUAUGAUCAGCCCAUUUGCACAAAUGAGUGGGGAAAGUAGGCCCCAUCCACGACGGAAUUACUUAGACAGAAACAUCCAUUGGUCUACUAAAAUAUGUACUGUCACAUCCCAGGACCCAUUCCGCCGUAACACGAUAUUGUCCGCUUUGGGCCCACCGGCCCUCACGGUUUUGUUUCCGGCAGCUCAGGAGCAGCUUCCCAGUAGGUUACCCAUCCUGGGAUUGCUCUAGCAUCAACAUGCUUAACCUCGGAGUACCCAUCCCCUCCGAAGCCGCUGAGCCACCAAAAUGUCUCGUAUUAGAUUGGAGGUGGGCAUGUACAUAUACAGCACAUAACCCCUCUCCGUUUAGUUGAUGUGGGAUAUUACAAUCCACCCCCCUUGGGAGUCCGACGCCCUCGUCGGCACACUCGCACCACACGGCAGAGUGGCUCUGAUACCAUUAAAUGGUUGGAUAUGAGAUUUGUUUAGAUUAGUAAAUAAUUUGGGUGGUGUUGUGAUUUGGGGAGCACGGAGGCUCCAAGAGUUUAAGGUUGGAUUUAAAUUUUCAGAAGUGUUUGCAGGUAUUAUUAGGAAGGGUUGUCCAUUUUCAAGGGAGGUUAUACCGAUUUUUCGGUAAAAUUUUCCUUGGAGUUGGUCCCCGCACGACUUACUCUGGGUUUCAGGGUGAAAUUUGGGGUGGGUCAUGUCAGUUGGUAUCAGAGCACUAGGUUAUUCGUUUCCUUUCUCUUUUUAGUACUACCUCAUAUUCUUGGUCAUGCUCAGUGUCUAUAGAGUGAUGGUCCGACCGCGGCGGAUCUAUUAGCAUUAUAUGCUUAAGACACUAUGUGUUGAUUAGGGUUGUGAUGUAGUUGUUCUUUUAUUUAUGGACAGUAGUGUGCCAUAAAUGUCUACAUCUCUAAGACUAUGCCUCCGUACGCUGACCUCUUGAGUGUUCAUCCUUCGAGUUUUGAAAAGGUGUAUAGUUUGCACCUAUUCCAAGGUUCAUUAAUUUAAUAUCUUUGAUAUUAAUUGUUGGAGUUGUUUUGCGAGUGGGGAACGAAAAAGCUUGUUAGCAUUCCUUUCAGGUAUCCAAUGAUUGAUUGGGUUAAUUAAGAUUAAGGUUUCAGAUUAAGAUGCUAAGGUGAGCAUCUUGUGCAAAUAUGUUGGGUGAAAUGUUGAUGAUUAAUGCCUUGAAGUUGUCCAUUUUUUUUAGUGGGCAAGAUUGGAGUCAAAAAUUGAUUGAUGGGAGAUUUUGGUAUUGAGUUACGUGACUUCUGAGAGAGUUGAGUUGAAAGGAAAGUUUGAAGUAGUGGUGUAUUCUAUUGAUGAAAAAGUUAGUUGAAAUUAUGAGGUGAGGUAUCCAAUGGUAAUUCAAAUGGGUACCUAUAUGAGUUGUUGAGGACCCUAGUCUUGGGUUAAUCAAGGUUUUAGGAAAUUUGUGGCUAGUGAUUGGGUGGUAAGGUAUUGCUGCAUAAAGAGCUAAAUGUCAAUUUAGAUAAGUCUUGAUUGAAGGCCAUUUUGCCGACAAUUUUAUCCGCAACAUAAAUCAAUUGGGAACAUCUUGGGAUAAUUUUGGUUAUGGCGGUAUAUGUUCUGGUUUUUGCAGUGCUAAUUAUGGAUAUGUUUCUAUCCUUAGAGCAUUUUAUCCAGAUGGUAGUGGUAAUAUAUUUUGAAAAUGAUAGAUGUUAGUAGUCGAUGAAUAGUAAGAUUUCUGAUGAUUUUGGUCUCUAUUGUGGGUUAGUUGAAGUUUGUUAAAGCACUAAGUAAAAUGACUUCGAUUGUUGGUUUUACAAAAGUCAUUCGUCAAUGCGUUGUGACAACUUGAUAUUGUGUCGCGGUCAAGGAAUUAUUGCAAAUUGAAUGGUGUCAUCAAAAGUUUCGAGCUUCGAGCAAGCUUUAAAGCAUUGAGCGACUUCUGUCGGCUGUAGUAUUUUAAUCGUGGGGCCGUUAUGGAUUCUUUCGGAAUUCUGGGUGUUGAAGUUUGGUUUCCAAAUUUGUUGAGUGUUUGGGAAGAUGAUAAAUUUAAAUGGAAUUGAAAGUAAUGGUGGAGUAAGAGCGGGAUGGUUGUGGUCGUUUCGGUUUUACGUACAGCUCAUGGUGAAUUUUAAUAGGUGUUGUCAUGAGUUUUUGUUUUAUAAAUUCUAAGGUAGUUGCAUGAAAUUGGUGGAAGUGGCAGCGGUAGAAUAGAACCCACUGGAUCAUAAAGCAAGAGUGUGUGGGUGUCCAAAGUAAUUUUUAAGCAAUGUCAUUCCGGGUGGUUGAUGUAAGUCUCAAAUUUGUGAUCGAAGUUGGUUUUUGGCAUCACUUCGUCGCAAUGGGUGACUAACUACGACACAACAAUGGGAGGAUCUGUUCUCACCUUAUUUCUAAUUCGGUGAGAUGGAGUAAAGUUUUGGUUGUGGUGUGUGUGAGAAUAUUUAAACUAUUCCUAUUGUAGUUUUUGGGUAGCAGCCUCAGAGCUUGAAAUUUUGGAAUGCGGAUUUAACGCUUCGAUUUGAAGGGUAGAGAUUCUGGUUAUUUUGUCGAAGUUUUGAGGUAAAUGAUAAAUUGGUAGUUGUGUCGUAGUCAUGGAUCCGGAAUAAAUCCAGUGGUGAUCCCAAGUGAGCUGGAGUUCAUUUAAGCAAUGAGUCUUGAUGUUGAUUUGAUGGUUUGUGUCGUUGUAGGUAUAUUUCAUGAUGUAGCAUUGUGGAAGAGGGUUUUCCCCUGUUGACUCAAGAAGCGUCUAGAGUCAAGGUUUAUUAAGAGUUUUAAUAUUGAGAGUAGUAGUUUUUGAUAGGUUGAUCAGCGUCUCUUCUCGGGAUCGUAUUGUGGUGGGACCACUCAUUGAUCCAUGUAUGAUUUGGGAGGUCUUGUAUAAAAAUUUGUCUUUGCUUUUGUUAGUCGCAUGUUAUUGCAAGCUCGGUUUUCGAAGAAUCUUUUUGGUGGGAAGUCAUGGCCCUGGGAUGUGUAGGAGACUUGAGCGUGUCUGAUUUUUCAGAUCGUCUUCUUCUAUCAGAUUAAUUAUUUUUGGAGGUAGAAAAAGAAAUGUGUUUGUCGGAUCCAAAGGUUUCGGCAUUUAGAAUCAUUCUUAUGGAACGGCUAGAGUGAGCCGUGUGUUUUUUUUUUUUUUAAUGAUUGCUUUUGGGGUCGCAGUUGCACCCGAAUAAGUAGCAUGGCUAGAGAUGUAAAUUUUGUCAAUGCUUAAAAGAAGGUGUUCUUUUUACGUGGAUUUCAACGUCAAGUUAGCAUCAUGAAUUGAUUGUGCCAAUCUUCGUGGGCAUUAAUUAGUUAUUUUUGUUUAUGGCGAGCAAGGAGGAAUAUCCAGUUUCCACGUGUUAGUCAUGCUUCAGAUUAUCUUCUGGUUUGUGGUAAAUAAUAGUGGAGAUAGCAGAAUCAGGAGAGAGUUUGAAAUUCCCAUAAGUUGCUAGUUUGUGGUGCAUAAAAUGGUAAUGUAAUAGUUUUGGUGGAGAGAUCUAAGUGUCGUGGUAUUGAUCUUUUCAUAAUGUUAUUUCGGCAAUCGAGGUUAUCAUAUGUUGGUGGACUGGUCAUUUAGGCAGAGCAAGGUUAUCUUGUGGACUUGCGAGAGCUUUGGCUCCGCGAAAGACUCUGCGAGGUGUCUCAGUAGUAGGAGUGAUUGUUGCAGUUCUGUAGUGUCUGCAUCCUUAAAAAUCUGUUCAAUUAGCGGGUCUUAAUUUUGACCCCUAUGAGCAUGUGGGAAUAUGUGAACUUUAGUUUCCUAGCAAGUGGGCUUGAUUGUCGUGUUUCAAAUGUUUUCCCCUGGGCUCUUCGUUUUAAAAAUACCCAGUUUGCAGGAUUGCAUAGUUGAGGUCGGGCGUACAUGGGGAUGAGGCAUAGUCAUCAUGUAGCUUCCGCUUGUUAAUUUAUUAUGUUUUCUUUCUUCCUGUUAGAGUUGCUCUGAACCUAUAAAUUGUUGGAUAUGAGAUUUGUUUAAAUUAGUAAAUAAUUUGGGUGGUGUUGUGAUUUGGGGAGCACGGAGGCUCCAGGAGUUUAAGGUUGGAUUUAAAUUUUCAGAAGUGUUUGCAGGUAUUAUUAGGAAGGGUUGUCCAUUUUCAAGGGAGGUUAUACCGAUUUUUCGGUAAAAUUUUCCUUGGAGUUGGUCCCUGCACGACUUACUCUGGGUUUCAGGGUGAAAUUUGGGGUGGGUCGUGUCAUGUACAAUUUUUAUGGCAUGAACUCACAGGAGGUUAGACGUGUUUAAUAAGACUCGUUAUUAUAAGAAGUGUCAUCUUCUGCACUUCCUCACACGUGUGAAUUAUUUGCUCUUGAACGGCCAAUUUUCUAUUCCGUUAUGUGAUCAUUUUCUUCAUUUUUCAUUAGUAGAGACAAUAACUGUGCUCAGCCUAGAAUUUGGUAUCCUUUUAACAUUCUUUGGUCCAUAUCUACCUCUACUUGAUACCUAUCCUUCAAGUUGAUACUAUAGUAUGAUUAGUAUCCUUCAAAAUUUAAUUGGCGUGAUAAUCCAUAUUACCCCUGAAAUCUACAAUAUUAUCCUUCACCAAUUACAAACACAUCCAUCUAUACAUUUUUGAUGGCAAAAACUCAACUAAGCCAUCACCCGUUUAAGUCUACUCAUUAUUGGUUCCACCACAGAAAAAGAAGCAUGUUCCUUUUAAAUCAAAUCUUUGUACAUGCAUCUAUACAAAUGCGUAUAUAACAAAGUUAUAAAAUCUAUUUUGCAUAUGUACAUACAAUGUUUCCUUUCUAGUUAGUCGUGUGUCAAACUUCGCACAUAAGAAUGUUACAUGUUCCCUUGCUUUUAAAAUAUGCAGUUUCUUUUAAAUUUUGUCUAUGCAUAUGAAAAUAUGUCUCCCAUAAAAAAACAAAUAUAUACAAUUUCAAUGACUAAACAGGAGGGUAGGCCAUCACGCGUUUAAGUCUACUAAUUAUCGGUAUUACUACGGGAAAGAAAACACAUUAAAAAGAAAUUGUUAUACAUGCAUCUAUACAAAAUGUACAAUAAAGUUUACAUGCUCCAAUUAACUCCAUCUCAGCCAUCCAUUUGACAAUCAUCGUCGCUCAAACUACAAAUCAAUAGCAAUAAACAAAAACAU